Molecule: ribosomal RNA, 468 nt
Filed under: uncultured bacterium
Lineage: Bacteria
Description: partial 16S ribosomal RNA
Rfam family: Bacterial small subunit ribosomal RNA
Source: RNAcentral
GACGAACGCUGGCGGCGUGCUUAAUACAUGCAAGUCGAACGGAAAGGCCCUGCUUUUGUGGGGUUCUCGAUUGGCGAACGGGUGAGUAACACGUGAGUAACCUGCCCCUGACUUUCGGAUAACUUCUGGAAACUGGGGCUAAUACCCGGUAGGAUCUCCUGCUGCAUGGUGGGGGUUGGAAAGUUUCGGCGGUUCGGGAUGGACUCGCGGGUUACCCGCUUGUUGGGGUGGUAGUGGAUUACGAAGGGUUUGAAGGGUAGCCGGCCUGAGAGGGUGACCGGCGACCAUGGGACUGAGAUACGGAGCAGAAGGGUACGGGAGGCAACGGGGGGGAAUAUGGCGGAACAGGCGGGAGCGUGAUAUGACAGCCCCGCGAGCGGAAUGACGGCCUACGGGGUAUGAACAGCUUUCGAAUGAGACGUAGCGUGAGUGACGGUAAUGGAUAAAAAAGCACCGGCUAACUACGUG